AGAGUUUGAUCCUGGCUCAGGAUGAACGCUAGCGGCAGGCUUAACACAUGCAAGUCGAGGGGUAACAUUGUGCUUGCACAGAUGACGACCGGCGCACGGGUGCGUAACGCGUAUAGAACCUACCUUUUACAGAGGAAUAGCCUUUAGAAAUGAAGAUUAAUGCCUCAUGGUAUUGUAGACUGGCAUCAGUUUAUAAUUAAAGAUUUAUCGGUAAAAGAUGGCUAUGCGUCCUAUUAGUUAGUUGGUAAGGUAACGGCUUACCAAGACAGCGAUAGGUAGGGGUCCUGAGAGGGAGAUCCCCCACACUGGUACUGAGACACGGACCAGACUCCUACGGGAGGCAGCAGUGAGGAAUAUUGGACAAUGGAGGAGACUCUGAUCCAGCCAUGCCGCGUGUAGGAAGAAUGCCCUAUGGGUUGUAAACUACUUUUAUACAGGAAGAAACACUGGUAUGUAUACCAGCUUGACGGUACUGUAAGAAUAAGGACCGGCUAACU
RNAcentral lists this ribosomal RNA (497 nucleotides) under uncultured bacterium. Its description in RNAcentral is "bacterial SSU rRNA". It matches the Rfam family "Bacterial small subunit ribosomal RNA", at positions 8 to 502 of the family's 1533-position model. The record is from RNAcentral.